UAUUUGAUGUGUUUAUUCUAUGGUUUCGUAUGCAUGAAUCACGGUUUCAUUUAUUAUGGUUUAAAUUAUGGUGAACCCGAUGUUGUGUUGUUUUAUUUAGUGUUCAUUACUAGUUUACGUGUUUAUGUUUGAUUGGAUAAUUGAGACCAAGAAAAAUGAAAAAAGUUAUGUGAAUUGAUUAAUGGAUAAUAUCGACAGCCUAACUAGAUAUCCUGGGAGAUGGUGG
Molecule: long non-coding RNA, 226 nt
Filed under: Carica papaya (papaya)
Lineage: Eukaryota; Viridiplantae; Streptophyta; Magnoliopsida; Brassicales; Caricaceae
Description: long non-coding RNA (CPAP_LNC013087)
Source: RNAcentral